RNAcentral lists this ribosomal RNA (301 nucleotides) under uncultured bacterium. RNAcentral describes it as "partial 16S ribosomal RNA". It matches the Rfam family "Bacterial small subunit ribosomal RNA", at positions 509 to 807 of the family's 1533-position model. The record is from RNAcentral.
CAGCCGCCGCGGUAAUACGAAGGGUGCAAGCGUUACUCGGAAUUACUGGGCGUAAAGCGUGCGUAGGUGGUGGUUUGAGUCCGUUGUGAAAGCCCUGGGCUCAACCUGGGAAUUGCAGUGGAUACUGGGUCACUAGAGUGUGGUAGAGGAUAGUGGAAUUUCCGGUGUAGCAGUGAAAUGCGUAGAGAUCGGAAGGAACAUCUGUGGCGAAGGCGACUAUCUGGUCCGACACUGACGCUGAGGCGCGAAAGCGUGGGGAGCAAACAGGAUUAGAUACCCCCGUAGUCCCUGUCUCUUAUAC